This 69-nucleotide transfer RNA is filed under the name Ictidomys tridecemlineatus (thirteen-lined ground squirrel). RNAcentral describes it as "Spermophilus tridecemlineatus (thirteen-lined ground squirrel) tRNA". It matches the Rfam family "tRNA". From Rfam's summary of the family: Transfer RNA (tRNA) molecules are approximately 80 nucleotides in length. Their secondary structure includes four short double-helical elements and three loops (D, anti-codon, and T loops). The record is from Rfam by way of RNAcentral. Lineage: Eukaryota; Metazoa; Chordata; Mammalia; Rodentia; Sciuridae.
GGGGUUGUGGCUCGGUGAUAGAGCUCUUGCCUAGUAAGUGUGAGGCUCUGAGUUCGAUCCUCAGCACCA